GAUGAACGCUGGCGGCGUGCCUAAUACAUGCAAGUCGAGCGAACGGACGAGAAGCUUGCUGCUCUGAUGUUAGCGGCGGACGGGUGAGUAACACGUGGAUAACCUACCUAUAAGACUGGGAUAACUUCGGGACACCGGCGCUAAUACCGGAUAAUCUUUUGAACCGCAUGGUUCAAAAGUGAAUGACGGCCUUGCUGUCACUUAUAGCUGGAUCCGCGCUGCAUUAGCUAGUUGGUAAGGUAACGGCUUACCAAGGCAACGAUGCGUAGCCGACCUGAGAGGGUGAUAGGCCACACGGGAACUGAAACACGGUCCAUACGCCUGCGGUAGGCACCAGUAGGGAAUCUUCCGCAAUGGGCGAAAGCCUGACGGAGCGACGCCGCGUGAGUUAUGAAGGUCUUCGGAGCGUAAAACUCGGUUAUUAGGGAAAAACAUAUGUGUAAGGAGCUGUGCACAUCUUGACGGUACCUAAUCAGAAAGCCACGGCUAACUACGUG
Molecule: ribosomal RNA, 497 nt
Filed under: uncultured bacterium
Lineage: Bacteria
Description: partial 16S ribosomal RNA
Rfam family: Bacterial small subunit ribosomal RNA
Source: RNAcentral